CCUCACCCUUCUUCCAGCUGCUUCUUAAAGCCAUUUUUAGGACAGGAGAGGACCAUUUCCGCAGACUGAAGGAGGUGCUUGUCGGUUACUUCUGCAGCAGGAGGGUUGACCCACCCUCCAUCCAUUGAGAGCUUCGAAAGCGCAACGGAUGAGUCUCUUUGGCAAGAUCUUCACAGUUUCCAAGCAGCUCUUCAUGACAUGAUCCGGAGUCUGGUUGAAUGGUCUGGAGGGUUUCUGAUAUAUCUGAAAAACCUCUUCCCAGCGAACACUUAAAUUAGCAGAGGAGCCGCUUCACAGUUUAGAUAAGAUUGAAUAAAGACAACGGAUGCUCAAGCCAUUACUAUGGAGAUUCAACAACCAGGCGUGAACAGGUCUGUAUGUGUGAUGAUACGACACAAAAGUCACAUUACAAAUGAUGCAGUCAUUGAAAUGAAGCAUUUGCUCAAUCCGAAAGUGUGAUUUCAAGAGAUCUAUUUCCAUACCUUUCGUCCACAGUGUAGCUAUCUUUACUUUUAAUCAAAACACUGAAGCCUGAAUCACCCUGACAGGGCCUGAACAACAGCAUCUAUGACAGAGAACAUUUCGGAAGAAAUCCCUUCAUUUUGUCCACAUGUCUACUUCGAAGCUGUGGGAGUCGGAGAGAUGAAGAAGGAGGAGUUGAUGGCUAUAUUGUUUCAUGCAGUGUUACAUUGUACAACAGUGGAGGGGGCGAGGAGAGGAAACUGACCAUAACCUGGAAGAGCAGAGAUGAAGGAAAAGAGCUGCUUAGGGCACGGUGCUUCUCAGGAGUAGAUAGAGUUGCUAUGAGGAAGUUUGUUCUAGUCCUUUUAAGGUUUUAGAAAAUAUUUCUACGUUGAUUUCACAGAAUUUUAUUACUGAGAGGGAUUUUAGAACUUAUUUGCCACAACUUUUUUCACUUUUUUUUAGUCAGGUAGACAGUUGAGACCCAGAAGGGUCAGCAGUUCCUCCAACUUCACAAAUUGAGUGUAACCAAGUCGCGAUUGGGUCUUUUGAUUCCCUUUCUGAUUCAGCAGUAGCUCAUUGUGGAAUCUUGAGCCUGAUACAUUGCUGGUACUCUGCAAAUAUUUGAUGAAGGAAAGAAUGAAUUCCUGAAUGACUCUGUCUCCCAUACCUUUCGUUCGUGGACCACUUUUGUACCCCCAAAUAAAGUCAAAAGAGAUCGUCGUGUGCUUUGCAGUUGGGCACAGAGAUGGAGAAAGCAAAGUUUCUAGUUCUGGAACAGAGACAUCAGAAGAAUGACCCCACUUCUUUUUAAAUUUUCUCUUUGCCAAGGGGGGAAUCAUUCAGCAGAGAUGUGUCUGCUGGGAGGGCCAGGUUCUGAAGUCAGCCACGAGAAGAAAAUCACAGAUAAUCAAAACUUCCCUUGAAGUUUUCUUAGGGAGGUACCAUGCCAAAGCCUGGUGGACUAUUUCUCAGCCAGUUUUCCCUUCAUCAUUGGAGCAGACAGCUGUUUUCUUGUUUGAGUACCAGUGAAGCAGUUAGCUUACAUUUUGAGGUCAUGUAUAUGAAAAAUGUGUAUUUUAAGCAGAAGACUACACAGGGAAGGUCCAUAGGCAUGGAGACAAACCUAGGGCAGAACAGAUUUGUUGGUCCUGUCUCAUGUUCACUCUGGGGCACCUGCUUUUUAAGACCAAUACCCAUUCCCUCUCUCUCUCUCUCUCUCUCUCUCGUAUAUUACCCAACUUACAAAAGUUUAAUGUAUGUUAGAUUUCACUCCACUGUUCUACCUAGUACAUUGGGAAAGCUGAACUAAAUACUGACCCAGUAUCUAGAAUCAAAAUCUACAUUAAAGGUAUUUAUUUUAUCUUGUGGAACUUCUUAGAUAAAGAUGAGAGGUCUAAACUCUAUAAUUAGAUAAUUUUAUUGGCAGUGAUAUGAAUUAUUAUUAUUUUGCUGUGGAGGCUUAAAAAAGAGGAAGUUUUGGUAUAGAUAUGCCUGGGAAAAGGAGAAUAUAUUAUAUGAUGACUGAAUUUAGAGAAAUUUAGAUGCAAAAGGCAAUCAGCCUCUGACACUCUUGCCCUCUUUUCCCGUCUCUGAAAAAACAAAAACAAAAUCCCUGGUUUACUCAGAGUCCCUCUUUUAAGACUUGAUUCAGACAUCCAAGCCUUCUAUCCUCAAUAGGCUGUUUGUUGCUUUUCCUGCAUCUCUCUCCCUCUUUCUUCCCUUUCUUCCUACCCAUCUCCACUCCCAAUUCUCCAUUCCCAUUCUUUCUUAUGCUGCAGCUUCACUGUGGACACAGACCACAGCGUCAGGGAGGCUUUUUUAAGAAUUUCUUAAACUUACUAAAAAGUAAUAAACUCUUGCAGACAUUACGAAGGAGGACUUUGGACAGAGAUACCUAGCUGAUUUCCUGGAACAAUAGCUGGGGAAUUAUUUUUCGGCUCCAGGAGGAUAAUAUUUUAAGUUGCUAUAUGUUUGCUGAUCCUGGGGAGAGGGUUGGAACAAUCGAGCAUGCACGGGAAGCUUGGGCUCUUGGCCCAGUCGGCUCAGAGUCUAAAUAUUUGGAGGAUGAAUACUUGAAAAUGCAUUUAAACAUUUAAAACAUUUUAUUUGUUUUUCCAGGAAGUCGCAUUGUUAAUGCGAUACAAUUCUGCAGCAGGACUCUGUCUGCGGGAGGUGUGAACCUCCUGGACAAGCCCAGGCUCAGGCUCCACCUUAGGCCUUGGUGUGAAGCCAGAGAUGUGCAUGUCUAUUGGCUAAUGUCCACGCCUGUGAAGUGGGUUAUUAUUACAAUCGCUCACCUUCAAUGCCUGUGUUCUAAAGUCAUCCUAAGGGUCUGACCCAACUCUGCACUGAAACCAAGAAUGCAACUUCACACACACACACACACACACACACACACACACACACCAUUUUCCAAAUCAAAUGCUGCAAUGUUUAUCUUCUUUUGUCAGUGCUGCCGCUUUAUUAUUAUUGCCAGCUUCCAACUCUACACAGAUGGUCAUCUGUGGUCAGUUUUCCUCUCCUGCCUACGAGGCAACAUACCUUUGGGCUGGUAUACGCUUAGAGAAUUCAAACUAAUAUGAAUGCAUUCAAUUGUGUAAAAUGUAAUUAGGAAAGCAAAUUUGUUGUAAAAGCAGCCUAUGUGUUUAUAUAACUUACAAUCAAUUAGAAGCAACUGGGCGAUUUUCAAUGUUCUUUAGACACACAGAUAUAUUCCAGGACCUCAAUUAUGUCAACUAUUUGCCUAUCUCAAUCAAAUGGUCUAGAUAAUUGCCAAAUAUCUACUUUGCUAUGCUAUCAAGUCCCAAACUCUCAUUGUCUCGGUGGAAUGGAAGUGAGAAUCACCUUCACUUCUAAAAUUUGAAGUAGAAAGCGCUGGGGAGGGCUGAGGUAGAGAGUAGCAUGGGUGUGCACCCGACCUGGUAAUUGCCAUGGUAAGGUGUCUUAGACAACAUGAUAAUAACUCUCUCGAUAGAACUGGGGAUGCGGUAGCAACAGUAAAAAUUAUAUUAAACUGGGCCCGAUGCCCAGACUAUCAGCCUCAGAUAAACAAAAUGUAAGAGAAGCAUUUCAAGAGGGGCUAACUUGUGAAUCAAGGAAGCUAAAACAGGCCAGAGAGGUGCUCGCUUGAGGAGACAAUGCUUUCACCUCCUUGAAAAAGCUGUGCCCAACCUAAUUAAAAUGCCCAAUCUAAUUAAAAACCUAACCAUAAUCUCCCCGGUGGCCCUUCACUCCACCCCUUUCCAUUGUUAAGAUGCUAAUAGGGUUGCUUAGCUGAAAAAUUAUUAAACCAGAAACUAUUUGAGCACACACGCGUAAUCCCCAGCCUAGCGAAUUGGAGCGAAGAUGCUAGUGAUUUGUACAGCGAUGGUGGUGUCUCCCUCAGCAAUGAUGUAUGACAUGGAUUAGUGCAGAGCAGCCAUCUGCUGUUGAGGAGGGUGAUAGAAUCUGUUCCACAGCGGCAGAUGACUCCCCAGUGCUGGCCAGCUGGCUCAGAGUGGACGAAGUUGGGCAGGGUAAGUGAUGCCCCAGCGACCCUCUGGGGAAAUAACUCCGGGACCUCUCCCUUAGGUGCCUAUAUUUGUCCCUGCUGGCUUCAUGCAUACACAUAUGUCAUAGAGCUGAUAUGAUGCAAUACACUUUAGAACAUGGAGAAGAAGGAAGAAGCACAUACCCACCAUAAAGUUUAAAAGUUGCUGGUCUUGAGCAUGAGAUGUGCCCUUGAGUCUCACGGUAGCCUGGACAAAAAGAGGAAACCUGAUAAAUCUUAUAGCUCAUACUAUCUGGGAAAAGAAGCAAGUCACUUUCUUAGAAGAAAUAAAGUUUUUUCUUACUUUUUCACGUUUAACUUGAUAAAGAGGAGAAAUUGAAUUUCUCAGGGUGUAUAUUAGAAAAUCAAACUGCUAGAGUGCUUGACCUAUUUACAGGGAAAGGACCAGAACAUGGAUUCCCCAGUGACUAAUGAGAAAUAGGUAGCGCUCAGCAGUUCCCUAAUAGGAUUGUGAUUUUUACCUUUUUCACUUUGCAUAUCUGUAUUUUCUAAAAUUUCCACCAUCUGGGACUUCCCUGGUGGCGCAGUGGUUGAGAAUCUGCCUGCCAAUGCAGGGAACACGGGUCCGAGCCCUGGUCCGGGAAGAUCCCACAUGCCGUGGAGCAACUAAGCCUGCGAGCCACAACUACUGAGCCUGCGCUCUAGAGCCCACGAGCCACAACUACUGAGACCAUGUGCCACAACUACUGAAGCCCACACGCCUAGAGCCCAUGCUCCACAACAAGAGAAGCCACUGCAGUGAGAAGCCUGUGCACCGCAACGAAGACGCAACGCAGCCAAAAAUUAAAAAAACAAACAGAAACAAAUAAAAUAAAAUUUCCACCAUGAACAUGCAUGACACUGUCAUAUAAAUGUGCUGGUUCUGGGUCUGCUUGACCUGAGGUCCAUUCCUCACUCUUCCUUCCCUGGCUGUGUAUUCAGGGGGCCUGACCCCUCUAGGCCAAUGUUCUUAGACCCCAUGUCAGCAGGCUCCCAACUGGGUUUGGCCCAUGGAGGCUCUAGUGGGAGUUUGGAGAACAGGAGGGAGGUUGAAGUUAGGGUAUUUCUCCCUCUCUCUCAGUCCUGGGUGGUAUCUCUGGCAGCUGCUGCCUCUCUUCCUUGGUUCCAUCUCUCACAGGAAACCUGCCAUAGUUCCUGCUUCCUCUGGGUAAUCCCAGGCCCAGGGCUCGGGUAGCAUCACCUCCUCCCUUUGUCCCUCCAGCCUGGGAGUGGUGGCGACUUCCUGCUGUGGCUAGACUCUGGAUUGCCUCACCAUCCCUUGUUUGGCUUUUAAGUUUCUUUCAUCUCAUUGCACUAAACUUCCUCUGUUCUAAAUAUUCAGAGUGGUUUCUGUCUUCCUGAUUGGGCCCUGACACAAAGAAACAAAAAUGUAUUUGAAACAAAAAUGAACGGGGCAAAAGAAUUUAGAGGAACUUGAGCUGGAGAAGUAACUGAAGAAGCAAAAGCCGAUAGAUCAUGGCAGCACACACAAAGCAAAGUCUGGGCUUGGUGCACACCAGCUGGAAAGGACUUCCGGUCACGUACGGGCCUUUUUAGGCACAUUUACGCACACGAAUUACAAUUUUACUUAGAGUUGUCAGCUCCAGAAGUGAAGGAUAACAAUAUGUCAGUUAUAGAGAAAAAACAAACAACCCCCCUCUCAACCCCCAUAAGAUUUGGAGUCCUACGUCGUUCACGUCCCAUAGAAUUCAAUUCCUGGCUUGUGGUGGAUACUGUGGUUGACUCUGCAGCCUCCAUUCCACCCCUCCCACAUGGCAUAGCAGCUGUGGGGUUUGGAGGGGACUGAUCCAACCUCUAGCUUCUGGGUUGUGGUCUUGGUUGACAUGGUCACUGGAUCAUGUACCCCAGGCCUCAGCCAAUCAGUACCUGGUAUUCCCCUGGCCACUGGCAACAAAAUGAAGCCGGGGUCUCAUGUUUGAUGAUUGGAGAAAGAAAAGUUCUUUCUCCUUCUAGAUAGUGUGGUGGGCCCUGAAACUGCUCCAGCAUUUUGCUACUAAAUGGAAAAAGAGACUCAGAAUAGAGCUGACACAAAAAGAAGGGUAAAUCCAACACAAUCAAAAUAAAACAGCUGGAUUUCUGAUCAAACUGUGCCUGAAGCCCACCGCACCACUGAACUUUUUCUGUUCUAGAGUUUCUCUAUUCUAUUUACUGUUUAGUACAUUUUGAUUUGGAUCUUAUGUUACUUGCAACCAAAAACAUGCUAGAUGAGACAUAGAAAUAUUGUCUUAUUGACUGUGUGGCCUUGGGCCAGUCACUGAAUCUUUCUGACCUUCAGUUUCCUCAUCUAUAAAAUGGAACUAUAAGUUGAUUUAUCUUAAGGAAUUUUUGUGAGGAUCAAAUGAGGUAAUAAAUGAGAAGGUGCUUUGUAAAUUGUAAGCAGUUAUUUGAAUCUUCUUAUCACAUGUAUAAUUUCUUUCAAUUGUUAAUGCAGUUUUAUAUCUCUCCUACAUAUAAAUAAUUAAUUUUAGCAAGCAUAAAUUUCUGUAAUAAUUACUCCAUUGCUGUGAGCGUUCAUCAGGAUUAAUCAGUAAUACCCAUAUUUCACUCUGUGUAGCCCUAAAUAAUUUACUUUUGAAAUCCCGGUUGACCUAUGUAAUCUUGAAAGGAUUUACCCCAAAACUCUCAGCCAAGUGGACAUGAGUUGACUAACUCCUCUGCGUGACCACGCAUCACUCACUUGUAAAACGUGUGCUUUUCAUUGCCAUCUGGAGCAACCCGUGAAAAGUGGGUGUGCAGCAUUCCUCUCACAGCGUGAAAGUUCGGGCACAUCCAAAAAGGUCCAGCUGGUCAGCUCUGCCCUUGCAUUUUCUUGGAGUUGCUGCCCUGAGGCUGUUUGGUAACCUGAGAGAGUGGUUUACACAUGAAUCUUUGAAAGGGCUGCAAAACGAAGAGCGCCCAGGGGAACAACACAUAGUGUUUAGGUUUUUGUAAUAACAAAAUAUUAAGGGUAAUUAAUUGAUCAAACCUAAUUAGAUAAGGUGUCUAACAUUUAGGGCAAUGAAAAUAAAAGUACACAAGAAGUAUGCUUUAUGUUUUUCUUCCAAUAAUUGGCAUAUCUUAGGACAGGACCUGGGAUGACCUUGCUGACUAUGGUGGGUCAGGGCAGACAAAGAAUGACUGGGACUAAGAACUUGACCCUCCCAUGGGGCUGGGACAAGCCCAGAGGACAAGACCUGCAAGUUCAGCCUUGAUUUUUCUCACCAAGCACUGUUGAUUCUACCUCCCAACCAGACUUCCCAUCUCCCCCUUCUCUGUCUGCCUUGCCACUGAGUUGGGUCAGGUCCUCAUUACAUGUCUCCUGGGCUAGUCUCUCUGCCCCCAGCCUCAACCCAUCUCUAUUCAUCCUCCACCCUGCUAUAGGAAUCAUCUUUUAAAAUUACACUAUGCUGCCCCACCCCCUUCCUCCCUUAAAACUUUUCACUGGCUCCCUAUGGCUGAUCCUAUAAAGCC
This is a non-coding RNA of Globicephala melas (long-finned pilot whale), 7465 nucleotides long. Lineage: Eukaryota; Metazoa; Chordata; Mammalia; Artiodactyla; Delphinidae. The record is from RefSeq and is a predicted model, not a curated record.